CCUACGGUGGCUGCAGUGGGGAAUAUUGGACAAUGGGCGAAAGCCUGAUCCAGCCAUGCCGCGUGUGUGAAGAAGGCCUUCGGGUUGUAAAGCACUUUCAGUGGGGAAGAAAGCCUUGGGGCUAAUACCCUCGAGGAAGGACAUCACCCACAGAAGAAGCACCGGCUAACUCCGUGCCAGCAGCCGCGGCAAUACGGAGGGUGCGAGCGUUAAUCGGAAUUACUGGGCGUAAAGCGCGCGUAGGCGGUCUGAUAAGCCGGUUGUGAAAGCCCCGGGCUCAACCUGGGAACGGCAUCCGGAACUGUCAGGCUAGAGUGCAGGAGAGGAAGGUAGAAUUCCCGGUGUAGCAGUGAAAUGCGUAGAGAUCGGGAGGAAUACCAGUGGCGAAGGCGGCCUUCUGGACUGACACUGACGCUGAGGUGCGAAAGCGUGGGUAGCAAACAGGAUUAGAUACCCUAGUAGUC
This 464-nucleotide ribosomal RNA is filed under the name Vreelandella stevensii. Its description in RNAcentral is "partial 16S ribosomal RNA". It matches the Rfam family "Bacterial small subunit ribosomal RNA", at positions 338 to 795 of the family's 1533-position model. Lineage: Bacteria; Pseudomonadati; Pseudomonadota; Gammaproteobacteria; Oceanospirillales; Halomonadaceae. The record is from RNAcentral.